Molecule: ribosomal RNA, 456 nt
Filed under: uncultured Glomus
Lineage: Eukaryota; Fungi; Glomeromycota; Glomeromycetes; Glomerales; Glomeraceae
Description: SSU rRNA
Rfam family: Eukaryotic small subunit ribosomal RNA
Source: RNAcentral
AGCAGCCGCGGUAAUUCCAGCUCCAAUAGCGUAUAUUAAAGUUGUUGCAGUUAAAAAGCUCGUAGUUGAAUUUCGGGAUCAGUUUGUUGGUCGUGCUUCGGUACGUACUGUCAUUACUGGUUUCUACCUUCUGAAGAACCUUGAUGUCAUUAAUUUGGUGUCUUGGGGAAUCAGGACUGUUACUUUGAAAAAUUAGAGUGUUUAAAGCAAGCAUACGCUUGAAUACAUUAGCAUGGAAUAAUGAAAUAGGACGUUUGAUUCUAUUUUGUUGGUUUCUAGGAUCGACGUAAUGAUUAAUAGGGAUAGUUGGGGGCAUUAGUAUUCAAUUGUCAGAGGUGAAAUUCUUGGAUUUAUUGAAGACUAACUACUGCGAAAGCAUUUGCCAAGGAUGUUUUCAUUAAUCAAGAACGAAAGUUAGGGGAUCGAAGACGAUCAGAUACCGUCGUAGUCUUAACC